CCGCCCGUCACGUCAUGAAAGUUGGAGACGCCUGAAGUCGGUCAGCCAACCUCUUUGAGGAGGCAGCCGCCGAGGGUGGUGCCAGCGAUUGGGACG
RNAcentral lists this ribosomal RNA (96 nucleotides) under uncultured bacterium. RNAcentral describes it as "partial 16S ribosomal RNA". It matches the Rfam family "Bacterial small subunit ribosomal RNA", at positions 1390 to 1482 of the family's 1533-position model. The record is from RNAcentral.